GCGGACGUAGCUCAGCGGAUAGAGCAUCAGUCUUCGGAACUGAGGGCCGGGGGUUCGAAUCCCUCCGUCCGCGCCA
RNAcentral lists this transfer RNA (76 nucleotides) under Armatimonadota bacterium. Its description in RNAcentral is "Armatimonadetes bacterium (bioreactor metagenome) tRNA-Arg". It matches the Rfam family "tRNA". Rfam says of the family: Transfer RNA (tRNA) molecules are approximately 80 nucleotides in length. RNAcentral also lists the same sequence under 3 other names. The record is from RNAcentral. Lineage: Bacteria; Bacillati; Armatimonadota.